This 526-nucleotide long non-coding RNA is filed under the name Carica papaya (papaya). Its description in RNAcentral is "long non-coding RNA (CPAP_LNC009519)". The record is from RNAcentral. Lineage: Eukaryota; Viridiplantae; Streptophyta; Magnoliopsida; Brassicales; Caricaceae.
UGUGCACCAUAUCACCAAUCUCCACAUAAUGUUGAAGCUCUACAAUGUUGGCUAUGUCUUUGUUAAGACCAUUUUAGAACCUUGCCAUAGUAGCUUCCCUAUCCUCUUUAAUAUUAGCCCUUAUCAUGGCUAUUUCUAUCUCUUUGUAGUAGUCUUCUACACUCUUGUUCCCUUAUAUAUGGUCUUGCAAUUUUUGAUAUAAGUCUCUAUAGUAGUGAGUAGGAACAAAGAACAUUCUCAUGAUAGCCUUCAUUUUAGCCUAAGUGGAAAUAGGUCUCUCUUCAUUUCUCCUUUUACUUGUGAUGAGUUGAUCCCACCACACAAUGGCAUACUCUCCAAACUCCACGGUCGCAAGCUUUAUCUUUUUCUCCUCCAAAUAAUUGUGGCACUAAAAAAUAAGCUCCACCUUGCGCUCCCAUUCAAGAUAAGCAUUCAGAUCAUUCUUGCCUAGAAACGAUGAGAUUUUCAUUUUGAUGCUCUUAAUGUUUUUAUCAAGAUUAUUUCGACCCCUACUAUAAUUUCGAUC